This is a non-coding RNA of Delitschia confertaspora ATCC 74209, 136 nucleotides long. The record is from the annotation of a GenBank genome assembly. NCBI's taxonomy places the organism in Eukaryota, Fungi, Ascomycota, Dothideomycetes, Pleosporales, Delitschiaceae.
GGGCACUUGGUCUAGGGGUAUGAUGUAAGUUAUUUCAAAUCAAUAAUCUGUAUGAUAGAGCUAACCAAUUAUUAGUUUCGCUUCGCAUUCAAUAUGUAUAUGUGAAAGGUCGUGGGUUCAAUUCCCACAGUGUCCA